UUUUUUUUUUUUUUUUUUAGCUUAUAAGUUCAACUUAUAAGUCUAAAAAUUAUUAUAAACAAACAGAUCAGCCUAUUUUUAGAGCUUAUAGGUUAAGACAAAUACCCUCUUACUUCCCUACCUACUUUCCCUUGAAAUGUUCAUACUGGAUAGAACAUAGCAUAUUCGUUUGUCCAAAAUGCUAUUACAGUGAACUGAGAUGACUAUGAAACAUCAUUUGUAAGCCAGAGCAAAUAAGAAUGCCUUGAUAGCUUUGGAUGGCAUCAUUUGUAAUCAGGAGCUCAUUUUGUUUCUGCAAAAGAUCUUACAAGAUAAUUAUGCCAUGGCCCUCUGUGGCUGUGGGACCAUAAUUAGGUAUUGCCUUUUUAACUAAACUAUCAUUCAUCAAACAAGCCUAGUGAUGACAUAUCUUCCUCAGUGAAAGUAUUCAUCAAACAAGUCUCCCUUUUCUUAGUGUGUGUAGAUUUAGCUCCUUAGUCAAUGUGUUUACGAGGCUUUUUUUAAUUCCAUGUUUCAUGUAUAUGAUUAUUAUUCAAAGGAAUAUUUUCACUAUAAUCCUAAAUUUUGCUUCUAAAACUAUUAGUAACAUAAUUUGUUAGUGAUCCAUUUCUUCAAUUGAGUUGAGAAUGUUUCAUUUCUAUUUUUUAAUGAGGAUAAGUUUCUGAAAAAUGCUUCCAUCAAAGUAGUAUUUAUUCAAGGUCAAUUUUCCAUAAUUGUCUUUCUUUAUAAUAAAAUAUUCAUCUUAAAGUUGUGUUUAUUGUGUUCCUGAGUUCUAUGUGUUACUAGAUGCUCCAUUUUAAUUUAUAUGUUCUUUCUUUCUGUAGGAAAGCCACUCAAAAGCUUGCCAGAUCUGCUCCGAGAGUACAACUUACCACCUGGUCUCUUUCCCCAGAACAUAAUCUGUUAUGAAUUUGAUGAGUCAAAGGCAAAGCUGAUUGUGUACUUGCCUUCUGUAUGUGAGGUCAGCUUCAAGGACUCUUCUGUAUUGAGGUAUGCAACUCGAGUAAAAGCCAUCCUCAUGAGAGGAAAGCUCACAGGUAUAGAGGGAAUGAAGACGAAGGUCCUUGUAUGGGUUAAGGUCACAAGUGUGGCAGUUGAAGGCUACAAGUCUGAUAAGGUGUGGUUUACAGCCGGUGUCAAGAAGUCCAGACCUAGAAUUGCAUAUGAUGUCCCACAGGCUGCUGUCAGAGUAGAUGAAUUUUGAGUUAAAACAUAUAUACUUUCUUCCAUUGAUGAUGAAAAAUCCUAGUAAUAUUUUGGCAGAUUAAACAUAACAUCAUAGGUUGGUGGCUAGUGUAAAAUUCACUCAUUUCUUAUGAUGUGAAUACUUAUGAUUAAGCAUAAUAUCAUGCUUUUUCUCAUUGCGAAAUGCAAAUUUUAGUUGCCUCUGUACUGGCUUUAAAAUGUGGAGCUUUUUCUUUUGUUUUUGAACUGACUUAAGUUGUGGAGCUUGAGCAUGCAAUUCAAUUGGGAGCCAUGUCAGGUGUGC
RNAcentral lists this unclassified non-coding RNA (1489 nucleotides) under Hevea brasiliensis (rubber tree). The record is from RNAcentral. Lineage: Eukaryota; Viridiplantae; Streptophyta; Magnoliopsida; Malpighiales; Euphorbiaceae.